UCCUUUUUUUUUUUUUACAGCCAAAUAAAAAUGUUUAUAGCCAUAUAUGCCGUUCUCUUCUCUCUGGUCACAGAAGCUGUUCUGGGAGUGAAACUGGAGCAAAAAGAUCUCUCCAUGACUAAAGAGGAGGGCAAAAGUGUGUAUAUCAGCUGCAAUGUGACUGAAUUAUCCAGAGAUUAUGUCCACUGGUACCAAAAGAAGGAAAGUGAACCUCUAACAAGGAUCCUGUAUGUCAAAAGAGAUAGCCCACCUGUACCUGAUACUAACCAUCCUGAAGGAAAGGACUUCGAUGUGAGGAUACAGUCUGAUAAUUAUGAUCUGAAGAUAGCAAAACUGAAAAAAAGUCACUCGGCAGUUUAUUACUGUGCCAGCUGGGAGUACAGCAGUGACACAGUGACAGUAAAUAUUCACAGUGUGUGA
Non-coding RNA from Pangasianodon hypophthalmus (striped catfish), 420 nucleotides. Lineage: Eukaryota; Metazoa; Chordata; Actinopteri; Siluriformes; Pangasiidae. The record is from the annotation of a RefSeq genome assembly.